Molecule: unclassified non-coding RNA, 271 nt
Filed under: fungal sp.
Lineage: Eukaryota; Fungi
Description: partial internal transcribed spacer region
Rfam family: Eukaryotic small subunit ribosomal RNA (bases 1-46)
Source: RNAcentral
AAGUCGUAACAAGGUAAUCGUAGGUGAACCUGCGGUUGGAUCAUUAAAAAAUGGUAUAGUUUGCAGUAUAGUUUUAGUAACAUUCGUUACCAUCGAGACGGUUUAUUCCUGUCUCCUAUACUGCAAAUUUUUCCUCCAACCCUUUGUGCACACUUUAUUGUAUUUUGGGCAAGACUCUGUUUUGCCCAGCGGAUUAUUAACACCUCUUUAAUUUUGCCUGAAAUUAUUUUAUAAAUAAUAACAACUUUUGACAACGGAUCUCUUGGCUCUC